Molecule: long non-coding RNA, 5270 nt
Organism: Pan troglodytes (chimpanzee)
Lineage: Eukaryota; Metazoa; Chordata; Mammalia; Primates; Hominidae
Exons: 4
Source: RefSeq, a predicted model, not a curated record
GCUCGGGGGUCAGGGGUCAGGGACCCACUUGAGGAGGCAGUCUGCCCGUUCUCAGAUCUCCAGCUGCGUGCUGGGAGAACCACUGCUCUCUUCAAAGCUGUCAGACAGGGACAUUUAAGUCUGCGGAGGUUACUGCUGUCUUUUUGUUUGUCUGUGCCCUGCCCCCAGAGGUGGAGCCUACAGAGGCAGGCAGGCCUCCUUGAGCUGUGGUGGGCUCCGCCCAGUUCGAGCUUCCCGCUGCUUUGUUUACCUAAUCAAGCCUCGGCAAUGGCGGGCGCCCCUCCCCCAGCCUCGCUGCCGCCUUGCAGUUUGAUCUGAGACUGCUGUGCUAGCAAUCAGCGAGACUCCGUGGGCGUAGGACCCUCCGAGCCAGGUGUGGGAUAUAAUCUCGUGGUGCGCCGUUUUUUUAAGCCCGUCGGAAAAGCGCAGUAUUCGGGUGGGAGUGACCUGACUUUCCAGGUGCGUCCGUCACCCCUUUCUUUGACUCGGAAAGGGAACUCCCUGACCCCUUGCGCUUCCGGAGUGAGGCAAUGCCUCGCCCUGCUUCGGCUCACGCACGGUGCGCGCACCCACUGACCUGCGCCCACUGUCUGGCACUCCCUAGAGAGAUGAACCCGGUACCUCAGAUGGAAAUGCAGAAAUCACCGUCUUCUGCGUCGCUCACGCUGGGAGCUGUAGACCGGAGCUGUUCCUAUUCGGCCAUCUUGGCUCCUUAUUCUCAUUACCUUCUUGAGUUGUGGCUCAGACACUACAACAGAGCUCCGUCACCUCUUUCUAAAAGCUGGGAAAUGGUUAUUGUCAACGCCAGCCCCAUUUUGGAGGCACCUGGCUGCAGGGGACCACAGCUAGCUGGGUGCGGUGGCUCAGGACUGUAAUUCCAGCUACAUGAGAGGAUUGCUUGAGGCCAGGAGUUUGAGACCAGCCUGAACAACAUAAACAGGUGCUCCUGUGAAGAGGAAGCCUCAGGAGGGAGUGAGAGCAGAAGGGAGCCCACCUGUGGUCGUCUCAGCAACAGCAGAAGAACCUGGGCCGCUGGGAGUGGAGUUGGAGAGAAACAGGUUGAUGUGGAAGUUAUUCUGCAGGUAGAAUGGAAAGGCGAAUUCCGCAAGAUGCUCUGGGGUCCACUGAGCUCAGCUGCUCAGGCUCAGCUCUUUCUGUGGGUUCUUCUUGGGCAGCUUGUUGACCAAGAUGUGGCCCAUGCCACUCCCUAUAUUCGGAGUCCAUUUUCUGAUGCCGUCUUUCAGCUCUUCACCUGCACUCAUCUGUGACUGCCUGGUACUGCUAGGAAGCCUCUGUUUGUGUCUCAUCUCUCCAGGUGGACUGGAGCUCCUGGGGGUCCUUUCCUUUGUGGGGGUUCUCAAUAUCAGAAUGGAGUCGCUUAUGUCAAACCCUAACAAAAUGGAGGUGGAGGCCACGAAUUGGAGCCUAUAUGCGUGCCUAUAACAGGACUUGUCACAAGGAAUCCCUGCACAUAUGCGUAUGAUGGGGACUAUGCCAGGAACUCCUCACAUAUGGAGGAUUCGAGAUAGACUGGGAGCUCCAUGAGGUCUGAGACAACCUGAAGAUGCCCAGCUCAGCAGAGACUGGCUACGGCAAUCACUCAGUAACUGUUUGUUGAAUUGGACAUAAUAGAAGAGUUGAAGAAUUUUAAACAAGUCACCAUCAGUCCAGUGGAUUCCUCAAAGCAAACCUGGAAAUCUCGGCAUGAGUUGGAUUUAAGGCAGUACAUUUUCAGCUCCUGAAAAUUUGAACAGUUUCUCAAGAGAACAACUUGAAACAGAAAGGCAAGGAUGUAGAUGUGGUUGUAGAAGAUGAUGUCUGCGGCCACCAAACUGUCCACUGUGAAGAUAAACCAUGCAUGUUUAGUAGGCAGUGGCUCCUCUUCCCUGUGGGGAGUCCCACUGCUUCCCUGGCCUGGGUGUUCUCUGCCGGUAGAUGUUAUUGACAAAAUUAGCAAAGUCCUCUGAUUCUGAGAAUUAGAGUUUAUGAUAGCUCUAGAUUGCCUCUGCCAUGCUAUUUAAAGUCCUGCUUUAUUGUCUGACAUGAGUUCGGCAUCUAUGAGGACUUGUCCAGUGCAAAGUACAAUCUCCACUGAAAGAUAUCACCAGCACAUCUUGUCACUGUGCUGUAGCAAGCUGGGCAGUACAAUGAUGUUGGCAGGAUCCUGUUUAGGUGGAGGAUGGCCACCUGGGCAUCAAGAAUCUUCUACCUUGAUUCCACAUUGAUUCCCCAAAGUGGGCUUCAGACAGCUCUUCACUUACAUCUUCUGAUUAAAGCAGCAGACAGGGUCCCAGCUAGAGAAAAGUUCUGGGAGCAGGAGAGGUGUUGGUGGCUUUAAAACCAGGGGUGAAGAUUGAAUUAGGAGGUUAGGCAGGAGUAGGAUCAAAGACUUAGAAAAUGCUUGUUUCCUCCUAUUAUUCUUAUGAGAGCUGAUACGGGGCUUUCAGUUUUGGGGGAGAGCCUUGGAAGAGAAUGAGGGAAUUUAAUCAACUAGCGGGACCUUUCCAACUUACAUUUCCCAGUGUUUGUUGGAUGAUACGUUUGCCUAAUAAGUUAAAGCUUCCAAAAAUAGAAAGGAAAGCUUGGUGACACUAAGCUCUGGCAUGCUGUCAUCUUCUGGUUAGGGGUCUUGUGCUUCUGUUUUUCUAUUUCUGACUGAGGACAUAAAAUGUGUUGUGACCUCUCAGGUAAUGCUGUGGUAUCAUGUCCAAGCAGUAACUAACCAGAGUGGAGUUUUUACAGGUAAAAAAGUAUUGAAUAGCUCAGCAACAGGGAGGAUUUAAUGAUAAAUUGCUUUUUCAGAAAAUGACAAGGGGACAGACACUUGCGGUUCUUCCAUUGAGAGCCUUAAGGAAGUUAAGCGAAGCCUCUGCUCACCCCUUCAAGUAACGAUGACCCAUCAGAUUGUGGUCAUAACCAGUAGCAUCUGAGGCACCCCUAAGCUCUCUGGGCCCCAGAUUCCUUGUUAAGUUAAAUGAGGUGACUUCCCAGUUUACCAUUCUAGGGGUUCCUGAGGAGUUAAAAAUGAAGGAGAAAAUGCAACAUGUACCAAGUGAGCAAGAGCUCAAGGCUUAUCUCUGGCACGAAAGUGACCGCUGUCCAUUAGAGAUGUGCUUGCCCUAAAUUUCCUUUAGGAAAUGCAAACAUUGAACUCUGACCUUCAGGACCCAAGCCCCGGCUUGCAUCUAUUCUAUACACUUUCUGUUAUUUGUUAGGGCUCACAAGGAACAGUUAUUUAUUUUUUAUUUUCUAUUUUUUUUUUAGAGAUGGAGUCUCACUCUGUCUCCCAGACUGGAGUGCAGUGGUGCCAUCUCAGCUCACUGCAACCUCCACCUCCCGGGUUCAAGCAAUUCUCCUGUCUCAGCCUCCUGAGUAGCUAGGACUACAGGCGUGUGCCAUCAUGCCCGGCUAAUUUUUAGUAUUUUUAGUAGAGGCAGGGUUUCACCAUAUUGGCCAGGCUGGUCUUGAACUCCUGAUCUCAAGUGAUCUACCCUCCUUGGCCUCCCAAACUGCUGGAAUUACAGAUGUGAGCGACCACACCCGGCCCAUUUGUUUUCUUUCAAACCCUUCUGUAAGACCAGUGCUUUAGGCGAACACGUGGACAGAACAAGUUCAUCACAUUUUGCAAUAUGAAGACCAACUGCACUGUGACCAGAAAAAACAGAGGCAAAAUGUUGAGCUUAAUGAUACCUUUUUAUAAUCUGUAUUUGGUGUUUCUCAAUUUUCCAUUGGAUAGUUUGAGAGAUAAGUACAAGUCAAUGACAUGUUCUCUUUUGUACCCUAUUGUCUAAUCCUGCUAACACACACACACACACACACUGAUUACCUAAUUUAUCUGUUCCCUGAUUAUUACACUCUCAAUUGCUGCAGAGUCUCAGAAGCAGCAUGGUGUAACAGAAAGAAUAUGAGGCUUAGAAUCCAAAAGCCAGAGUGUGAAUUCCAGCUCCACUGACUUGCUGCGUGACUUGAAGCAAGUCAUUACGUGUCUCUGUUUACUCAUUUUACGACUUUCCUAUUGCCUCUGUAAUAUAGCACCACAAACGUGUGGACUUAAAACAACAUGCACUUAUUCUCUUAGCGUUCUGGAGGUCAGGAGUCUGACAUCAAUUUCGUUGGGCUAAAAUCAAGAUGUUGGUAGGACCAAGAUCCCCGUGGAGGCUCUGGGAGAACCCACUUCCUUGCCUUUGCCAGCUUCUAAUGCUGCAUUCCUUGCAUUCCUUGAUUGUUGACCUCUUCCCCCAUCUUCAAAGCCAGCAGAACAGCACCUUGUUUCAUGGCCUUCUUUACUGUCAAAUCUCCCUCUGCCUUCUUCUUAUAAGAACACUUGUGGUUGCAUUUAGAGGCUGUGAUAAUCCAGAAUAAUAUCUUUAUCUCAAGAUCUUUGACUUAGUCUCUUCUGCAAAGUCUCUUUUGCCACAGAGGGAAAUAUUCACAGGUCCCAGGGGUCAGGCUGUGUACAUCUUUGGGGGACUUUAUUCUGCCUACCACACUCAUCUUUUUUUUUUUUUGGGUGGAGUCUCGCUCUGUCACCCAGGCUGGAGUGCAGUGGCAUGAUCUCGGCUCACUGCAACUUCUGCCUCCCCAGUUCAAGCAAUUCUCCUGCCUCAACCUCCCAAGUAGCUGGAAUUACAGGCGCCUGCCACCACACCCGGCUACUUUUUGUACUUUUAGUAGAGAUGGGGUUUCACUAUGUUGGCCUGGCUGGUCUUGAACUCCUGACCUCAGAUGAUUCCCCCACCUUGGCCUCCCAAAGUGCUGAGAUUACAGACGUGAGCCACCAUGCCCGGCCCCACACUCAUCUAUUAAGUAGAGCUAGGAAUUCCUAUCCUAAGGGACACAAAAACGAAAAAAGAUAAAAUUUGUGAAGAGGCACAUAAUGAAAGCCCAUACAUGUCACUGAGUUCAGAGGAGGGUGGGUCUGACCUCCCAUUGACUGGUCUCUGCCUGAUGGACAUCGUGAAGAAGAGAGCCAGGACUAGUGUGACUGGGGGAUGUUCAGGGGACAGAGUGGCUUCAGGUGCCAGCAGCCCUGGCCGAAGGAUGACUCCAGGAGCAAGGCUCAGAGCCGAGUGGAAGAAGCUUCAAUAAACACAACUGAGCCAAGCAUGAUGGGAUGUGCCUGUGGUUCCAGCUACUCAGGAGGCAGGUGGGAGGAUGGCUUGAGUCAGAAGUUCGAGGCUGCAGUGAGCUAUGAUCACACUACUGUACUCCAGCCUGGGUGACAGAAUGACACCCUGUCUCUAAAAAGAAAAGGCACCUGGAUGCUCAUG